GGGAGGUGGCUCAGUGAUAGAGCACUUGGCUAACAUGCAUGAGGCCCUGAGUUUAAUCCCCAGUACCA
Molecule: transfer RNA, 68 nt
Filed under: Marmota monax (woodchuck)
Lineage: Eukaryota; Metazoa; Chordata; Mammalia; Rodentia; Sciuridae
Description: tRNA.Val
Source: RNAcentral